UACGUAGGGUCCGAGCGUUGUCCGGAAUUACUGGGCGUAAAGAGCUCGUAGGCGGUUCGUCGCGUCGGCUGUGAAAUCCCGAGGCUCAACCUCGGGUCUGCAGUCGAUACGGGCGGACUGGAGUUCGGCAGGGGAGACUGGAAUUCCUGGUGUAGCGGUGAAAUGCGCAGAUAUCAGGAGGAACACCGGUGGCGAAGGCGGGUCUCUGGGCAUUAACUGACGCUGAGGAGCGAAAGCAUGGGGAGCGAACAGG
RNAcentral lists this ribosomal RNA (253 nucleotides) under uncultured bacterium. RNAcentral's name for it is "partial 16S ribosomal RNA". It matches the Rfam family "Bacterial small subunit ribosomal RNA", at positions 524 to 776 of the family's 1533-position model. The record is from RNAcentral.